This 247-nucleotide ribosomal RNA is filed under the name uncultured bacterium. RNAcentral's name for it is "partial 16S ribosomal RNA". It matches the Rfam family "Bacterial small subunit ribosomal RNA", at positions 523 to 769 of the family's 1533-position model. The record is from RNAcentral.
AUACGGAAGGUGCGAGCGUUAAUCGGAAUUACUGGGCGUAAAGCGCGCGUAGGCGGCUUGGUAAGUCGGGUGUGAAAGCCCCGGGCUCAACCUGGGAAUUGCAUUCGAUACUGCUGGGCUGGAGUACGAGAGAGGGGGGUGGAAUUCCAGGUGUAGCGGUGAAAUGCGUAGAUAUCUGGAGGAACACCGGUGGCGAAGGCGACCCCCUGGUUCGAUACUGACGCUGAGGUGCGAAAGCGUGGGGAGC